Molecule: ribosomal RNA, 460 nt
Filed under: uncultured bacterium
Lineage: Bacteria
Description: partial 16S ribosomal RNA
Rfam family: Bacterial small subunit ribosomal RNA
Source: RNAcentral
CCUACGGGUGGCAGCAGUGAGGAAUAUUGGUCAAUGGGCGCGAGCCUGAACCAGCCAAGUAGCGUGAAGGAUGACUGCCCUACGGGUUGUAAACUUCUUUUAUAAAGGAAUAAAGUGAGGCACGUGUGCCUUUUUGUAUGUACUUUAUGAAUAAGGCUCGGCUAACUCCGUGCCCGCCGCCGCGGUAAUACGGAGGAUCCGAGGGUUAUCCGGGUUUAUUGGGUUUAAAGGGAGAGUAGAUGGGUUGUUAAGUCCGUUGUGAAAGUUUGCGGGUCAAACGUAAAAGUGCAGUUGAUACUGGCAGCCUUGAGUACAGUUGAGGUAGGCGGAAUUCGUGGUGUAGCGGUGAAAUGCAUAGAUAUCACGAAGAACUCCGAUUGCGAAGGCAGCUUACUAAACUGCCACUGACAUUGAUGCACGAAAGUGUGGGUAUCAAACAGGAUUAGAUACCCUUGUAGUC